GAGGUUGAAUUGUAUCUAAUCUAAUCAAAAUUAUGUUUUAAACAACGUUUUGAAAAUUCUUAUGAGACACAAUAGUACUUGCCACUUAGUAAAAAAUGCCUAUGCUCUGUGUUGCCCAGAUAUGUACUUCAGUUGGCAUGCUAACCAGUUAGCCCCAGCCUAUCCUCUCUGAUAAUACCACUUCAUACCUCAAGAGGCACUAAGCAAUCAAUGUAGUGAAAACAGCAAGACAGCAUAGAUACUGUCACUGGCAUAUGCCCACCCUAUCAGGAAUGUCUUUAAACAUUGAAAUGCCAUUUCAGAGACUUAAAUAAUGACAGUUAAAGUUUUUCUUAAUUUGUGGAGUAAUGGAUUGUUAAAUGUUUUGAACUACAGAGCCUCAAUCCAUUUUCAGGGUGCUGGACUGAUAUUAUGAAUGGACCCAAGUAAGCAUUGCUCUCCUGUAGUUAGUAUCAACAAGUAUCUUAGUAGCAAGCCCAUCAACAUUAUGGUUAGACUAUCAGCUAAAUCCAAAACCUGAAAUAAGGAUUUAGAGGAUCUAUUGACAAAGUUCAUGUAACAUGUAAAUACCAAUUAGUCUUGAUGGAGACGCUUCUGGUAGCCUAGAUAUCGACGGCAGCACAGGAUCACUCUGAGCUGUGGGCGACUUCACUGAGGCUGAGGAGGCUGGUUGGCUGGAUUUAUUUAUGGCUCGGCCCGAGUCACUGUUUUUGUCUGGCCUAGCAAGUCACAAAUUCUGAAAUGAAUCAAGACGUAAAAGAGGCUGCAGGUCACAGUAAGACACUCAGACCAGAGUCUGCACUACACAGCUGUGUGACCAUGAAGAAUGACCAGAACAUGGAUGAUCCUGUAAACAUGAACAGCACAUCAACACAGACCAAUGCAGGACGACACACACACAGACCUCCAUCUCCAGUGCCCAGC
Long non-coding RNA from Clupea harengus (Atlantic herring), 924 nucleotides. RefSeq lists it as uncharacterized. Lineage: Eukaryota; Metazoa; Chordata; Actinopteri; Clupeiformes; Clupeidae. The transcript has 3 exons. The record is from RefSeq and is a predicted model, not a curated record.